AGCAGCCGCGGUAAUUCCAGCUCCAAUAGCGUAUAUUAAAGUUGUUGCAGUUAAAAAGCUCGUAGUUGAAUUUUGGAUUCUUCCAAUUGGUCCAUCUUUUAGAUGAGUACUGGUUGUGUGGGGUCUAUCCGCCUGGUAAUACGUAAUGUCCUUUAUUGGAUGUUGCGGGUAGUCAGGACCUUUACCUUGAAAAAAUUAGAGUGUUUAAAGCAGGCUUAUGCCGGAAUACAUUAGCAUGGAAUAAUAGAAUAGGACGAAGUUGUUUUAUUUUGUUGGUUUCUAGGACAACCGUAAUGAUUAAUAGGGAUAGUUGGGGGCAUUAGUAUUCAAUUGUCAGAGGUGAAAUUCUUGGAUUUAUUGAAGACUAACUACUGCGAAAGCAUUUGCCAAGGAUGUUUUCAUUAAUCAAGAACGAAAGUUAAGGGGGAUCGAAGACGAUCAGAUACCGUCGUAGUCUUAACCAAUAAACUAUGCCGACUAGGGAUCGGGCGAUGUUGUUUCCAUUGACUCGCUCGGCACCUUAUGG
Molecule: ribosomal RNA, 526 nt
Filed under: uncultured Archaeospora
Lineage: Eukaryota; Fungi; Glomeromycota; Glomeromycetes; Archaeosporales; Archaeosporaceae
Description: SSU rRNA
Rfam family: Eukaryotic small subunit ribosomal RNA
Source: RNAcentral